UACGUAGGUGGCAAGCGUUGUCCGGAUUUACUGGGCGUAAAGAGCGCGCAGGCGGUCGUUCAAGUCGCGUGUGAAAGCCCCCGGCUCAACUGGGGAGGGUCAUUGGAAACUGGGAAGCUUGAGUGCAGAAGAGGAAAGUGGAAUUCCAAGUGUAGCGGUGAAAUGCGUAGAGAUUUGGAGGAACACCAGUGGCGAAGGCGACUUUCUGGUCUGUAACUGACGCUGAGGCGCGAAAGCGUGGGGAGCAAACAGG
Molecule: ribosomal RNA, 253 nt
Filed under: uncultured bacterium
Lineage: Bacteria
Description: partial 16S ribosomal RNA
Rfam family: Bacterial small subunit ribosomal RNA
Source: RNAcentral